GAUGAACGCUAGCGAUAGGCCUAACACAUGCAAGUCGAGGGGCAUCACAUGAAGUAGCAAUACGGAUGGUGGCGACCGGCGCACGGGUGAGUAACACGUAUGCAACCUGCCUUCAACAAGGGGAUAACCCGUUGAAAGACGGACUAAUACCCUAUAACACAGGGGUCCCGCAUGGGAAUAUUUGUUAAAGGACAACCGGUUGAAGAUGGGCAUGCGUUCCAUUAGCUAGUUGGCGGGGUAACGGCCCACCAAGGCAACGAUGGAUAGGGGAACUGAGAGGUUUAUCCCCCACACUGGUACUGAGACACGGACCAGACUCCUACGGGAGGCAGCAGUGAGGAAUAUUGGUCAAUGGACGCAAGUCUGAACCAGCCACGUCGCGUGAAGGAAGACUGCCUUAUGGGUUGUAAACUUCUUUUAUACAGGAAUAAAAGGCUUACGUGUAGGCCAUUGCAAGUACUGUAUGAAUAAGCAUCGGCUAACUCCGUGCCAGCAGCCGC
RNAcentral lists this ribosomal RNA (500 nucleotides) under uncultured bacterium. Its description in RNAcentral is "bacterial SSU rRNA". It matches the Rfam family "Bacterial small subunit ribosomal RNA", at positions 28 to 518 of the family's 1533-position model. The record is from RNAcentral.